UACGUAGGGUCCGAGCGUUGUCCGGAAUUAUUGGGCGUAAAGGGCGCGUAGGCGGCUUGGCAAGUGGAUGGUGAAAUCCCUCGGCUUAACCGAGGAACUGCCGUCCAAACUGCUUCGCUUGAGACCGGGAGAGGUGAGUGGAAUUCCCAGUGUAGCGGUGAAAUGCGUAGAUAUUGGGAGGAACACCAGUGGCGAAGGCGGCUCACUGGACCGGUACUGACGCUGAUGCGCGAAAGCGUGGGGAGCAAACGGG
RNAcentral lists this ribosomal RNA (253 nucleotides) under uncultured bacterium. RNAcentral's name for it is "partial 16S ribosomal RNA". It matches the Rfam family "Bacterial small subunit ribosomal RNA", at positions 524 to 776 of the family's 1533-position model. The record is from RNAcentral.